GCAGCCGCCGCGGGAAUACGGAGGGUGCAAGCGUUAAUCGGAAUUACUGGGCGUAAAGCGCACGCAGGCGGUCUGACAAGUCAGAUGUGAAAUCCCCGGGCUUAACCUGGGAACUGCAUUUGAAACUGUCAGGCUGGAGUCUUGUAGAGGGGGGUGGAAUUCCAGGUGUAGCGGUGAAAUGCGUAGAGAUCUGGAGGAAUACCGGUGGCGAAGGCGGCCCCCUGGACAAAGACUGACGCUCAGGUGCGAAAGCGUGGGGAGCAAACAGGAUUAGAUACCCGAGUAGUCCCUGUCUCUUAUAC
RNAcentral lists this ribosomal RNA (302 nucleotides) under uncultured bacterium. Its description in RNAcentral is "partial 16S ribosomal RNA". It matches the Rfam family "Bacterial small subunit ribosomal RNA", at positions 508 to 807 of the family's 1533-position model. The record is from RNAcentral.